This 93-nucleotide small RNA is filed under the name Arabidopsis thaliana (thale cress). Its description in RNAcentral is "ATSL106030". The record is from RNAcentral. Lineage: Eukaryota; Viridiplantae; Streptophyta; Magnoliopsida; Brassicales; Brassicaceae.
GUUGCUUUCUGCAUAGCUUUCAUUGCAGAAGCUCCAGUCCUCAAAGCAUCUACAGUCUCUGUUGUUGCUUUAGCACCUUCUAACAUAAUCAUC